RNAcentral lists this ribosomal RNA (426 nucleotides) under uncultured bacterium. RNAcentral describes it as "bacterial SSU rRNA". It matches the Rfam family "Bacterial small subunit ribosomal RNA", at positions 355 to 772 of the family's 1533-position model. The record is from RNAcentral.
UGGGGAAUUGUUCGCAAUGGGCGCAAGCCUGACGACGCAACGCCGCGUGGAGGACGAAGAUUUUCGGAUCGUAAACUCCUUUCGAUCGGGACGAAUCGGUCGCGACCUAACACGUCGCGGCACUGACGGUACCGAGAGAAGAAGCCCCGGCUAACUCCGUGCCAGCAGCCGCGGUAAUACGGGGGGGGCAAGCGUUGUUCGGAAUUACUGGGCGUAAAGCGUGCGCAGGCGGUGAUGUAAGACAGGUGUGAAAUCCCCGGGCUUAACCUGGGAACUGCAUUUGUGACUGCAUCGCUGGAGUGCGGCAGAGGGGGAUGGAAUUCCGCGUGUAGCAGUGAAAUGCGUAGAUAUGCGGAGGAACACCGAUGGCGAAGGCAAUCCCCUGGGCCUGCACUGACGCUCAUGCACGAAAGCGUGGGGAGCAAA